Molecule: ribosomal RNA, 624 nt
Filed under: uncultured bacterium
Lineage: Bacteria
Description: bacterial SSU rRNA
Rfam family: Bacterial small subunit ribosomal RNA
Source: RNAcentral
CCUACGGGAGGCAGCAGUGGGGAAUUUUGGACAAUGGGCGCAAGCCUGAUCCAGCAAUGCCGCGUGAGUGAAGAAGGCCUUCGGGUUGUAAAGCUCUUUUGUCAGGGAAGAAAAGGUAGCCUCUAAUACAGGCUGCUCAUGACGGUACCUGAAGAAUAAGCACCGGCUAACUACGUGCCAGCAGCCGCGGUAAUACGUAGGGUGCAAGCGUUAAUCGGAAUUACUGGGCGUAAAGCGUGCGCAGGCGGUUAUAUAAGUCAGCUGUGAAAUCCCCGGGCUCAACCUGGGAACUGCAGUUGAGACUGUAUGGCUAGAGUGUGUCAGAGGGGGGUAGAAUUCCACGUGUAGCAGUGAAAUGCGUAGAUAUGUGGAGGAAUACCGAUGGCGAAGGCAGCCCCCUGGGAUAACACUGACGCUCAUGCACGAAAGCGUGGGGAGCAAACAGGAUUAGAUACCCUGGUAGUCCACGCCCUAAACGAUGUCUACUAGUUGUUGGGUCUUAAUUGACUUAGUAACGCAGCUAACGCGUGAAGUAGACCGCCUGGGGAGUCGGUCGCAGAUUAAAACGUCAAAGUAGUAGUACGGACGAGNGAGAGCGACGACGGACGACGACGGAGGGAGGNG